This 450-nucleotide ribosomal RNA is filed under the name uncultured bacterium. RNAcentral's name for it is "partial 16S ribosomal RNA". It matches the Rfam family "Bacterial small subunit ribosomal RNA", at positions 354 to 796 of the family's 1533-position model. The record is from RNAcentral.
GUGGGGAAUCUUCCGCAAUGGACGAAAGUCUGACGGAGCAACGCCGCGUGAGUGAAGAAGGUUUUCGGAUCGUAAAGCUCUUUCGUUAGGGACGAACGUGCUCUUUGUGAAUAAUGAGGAGUAAUGACGGUACCUAAAUAAGAAGCCACGGCUAACUACGUGCCAGCAGCCGCGGUAAUACGUAGGUGGCAAGCGUUGUCCGGAAUUAUUGGGCGUAAAGCGCGCGCAGGCGGGAUAUCAAGUCUGUCUUAAGAGUGCGAGGCUCAACCUCGUGAGGGGACAGAAACUGGUAUUCUUGAGUGUCGGAGAGGAAAGUGGAAUUCCAAGUGUAGCGGUGAAAUGCGUAGAGAUUUGGAAGAACACCAGUGGCGAAGGCGACUUUCUGGACGAUGUCUGACGCUGAGGCGCGAAAGCUAGGGGAGCGAACGGGAUUAGAUACCCCAGUAGUCC